CAGCCGCCGCGGUAAUACGUAGGGUGCGAGCGUUAAUCGGAAUUACUAGGCGUAAAGCGUGCGCAGGCGGUUAUAUAAGACAGAUGUGAAAUCCCCGGGCUCAACCUGGGACCUGCAUUUGUGACUGUAUAGCUAGAGUACGGUAGAGGGGGAUGGAAUUCCGCGUGUAGCAGUGAAAUGCGUAGAUAUGCGGAGGAACACCGAUGGCGAAGGCAAUCCCCUGGACCUGUACUGACGCUCAUGCACGAAAGCGUGGGGAGCAAACAGGAUUAGAUACCCCCGUAGUCCCUGUCUCUUAUAC
Molecule: ribosomal RNA, 301 nt
Filed under: uncultured bacterium
Lineage: Bacteria
Description: partial 16S ribosomal RNA
Rfam family: Bacterial small subunit ribosomal RNA
Source: RNAcentral